GCCAGAGGUGGAGGCACGCACCUGUAGUCCCAGCUACUUGGGAGGCUGAGGCAAGAGGAUCACUUGAGUCCAGGCUAUAGUGUGCUAUGCUGAUUAAGUGUCACCAUCAGAACAGUGACUUCCUAGAAGUGGGGGACCACCAGGUUGCCUAAGGAGGGGUGACCUGGCCCAGGUUGGAAACAGAGGUUGAAACUCCCGUGCUGAUCAGUAGGGGACUGUGCCUGUGAAUAACCACUGCACUCCAGCCUGGGCAACAUAACAAGAGCCCUUCUCUG
Molecule: signal recognition particle RNA, 275 nt
Filed under: Otolemur garnettii (small-eared galago)
Lineage: Eukaryota; Metazoa; Chordata; Mammalia; Primates; Galagidae
Description: Metazoan signal recognition particle RNA
Rfam family: Metazoan signal recognition particle RNA
About the family: The signal recognition particle (SRP) is a universally conserved ribonucleoprotein.
Source: Rfam by way of RNAcentral